UCCCUGGUGGCUCGGACGGUAAAGCGUCUGCCUACAAUGCAGGAGAUCCAGGUUUGAUCCCUGGGUUGGGAA
This 72-nucleotide transfer RNA is filed under the name Capra hircus (goat). It matches the Rfam family "tRNA". Rfam says of the family: Transfer RNA (tRNA) molecules are approximately 80 nucleotides in length. The record is from Rfam by way of RNAcentral. Lineage: Eukaryota; Metazoa; Chordata; Mammalia; Artiodactyla; Bovidae. RNAcentral also lists the same sequence under 1 other name.